Molecule: long non-coding RNA, 1482 nt
Filed under: Homo sapiens (human)
Lineage: Eukaryota; Metazoa; Chordata; Mammalia; Primates; Hominidae
Description: HSALNT0040616
Source: RNAcentral
CAAUUAGUUUUUUAAAAAACACUAAAUAGUCUCAAAAUGAGUAUAAAUUAUUUGUAAUUUCCUGUCAUCAGCUAUUCUAAUAAAAACUGAAUAUAACUUAGGAUUCUGUAGAAAACACUGAUGUCACUCAACUGUUAAACAACAUUUGGCCCUCUGUAGUGUUUCCGAGUUCCUCAGCGGAAAAAAAAUACACAAACGGCAGCAUAAAUCACCUUUGCGCCUUCUUUCAAAUUCCCCUGACUCUACAUGUAUAUUCCUUGACAGGAUUCUGCCUAUUCUACCAUCUGCAAACUUGAAUUUGAUGGAAAAAAAAAAAAGGGAAAAGUCUAUAUAUACUCUAGUGAGACAUAUGUAGGUUGCACCCCCAGCCUCCAUUUCUGCUUCCCUCUUAGUAAGGGCCACCCACAUUUCCAACUCUACAGAUCACCAAUCAGAGAUGUAAAUGUUAGGAAUCUUUCAAGGCCUGGGUUGAGGAUCUCUUCAGAGAGGUCUAGCUAUUGAUCCCAGGGUGCUAUCAGCCUGUGAUCAUUUGUUAUGUUCAUUUCCUAGUUUGCUGGGACACUAGUGGAAUUUUAAUUACACACCCAGACCAUGGGAAGUUCUACGUCUAUGCUUUGAAAGCCACAGCUCUUCAGUAUUCCACCAGGAUUCUGGACAAAGAACGGUUAAUCUGUGCCCGUUUGCAGACAGUCACCUGGGUUACUUUUCUCCGUUUCCUCUCUACUAACAGUAGCCUGGACAGUGAGUUCUGCAGUAAUGAGAUUUUCCUAGACAACCUGACUUGCUGGGUCUCUUCUUUAAAAAGAUGACAUCUAGAUUUAGAAAUGAGGGCAGCAUGUCAUUUCCUUGAAAAAGAAUAAGGAUCUGUACAGAGGUGCAACUGGGUGAUAACGCACAUAUUUCAAGAUAUAAUAUGUGUGUGUGAAUAUGCUUGACUAUUAGAACCAUAGUAUAAAAUAGUGAGAGGAAAUUAUAAAGAGAAUUUCUUUGGACUUGGUGUCAAGAGGUUCAUGUCCUGGCUCUAUAACUUAUAUCAUCCAUGUGACGUCAACACAUCUCAGUGCCAUGCAGGUGUGAAAUAACAAAGAAGCCAAACACUGGUGAAAGAAGUGAAAUUAAAAGAUUGAUUCAUCCAAAAAAGGUAAUAGUUAGACUUCUUCCCAUCGAGCUGACUGCAAUAUCUUCCCUUUACCUUCGGGUUCAAAACAUAGCCCUCUUUGAUGUCUCAUAAACAUUUCCUAAUAAUGUUCUCAAAUGAGAUAAAGGAUUAUAAAUGAAGUAAUGAGCCUCACCCAUGAGGAGAAUUGAAGAGCUCUUAAAGAAAAUCUGCUUCUGAAGAUACGGAUUCUAGAAUCAGGGAGUUGUCCCCAAUUCCCAGAAGUUCAAACCCAGUGAUUAGCACAGAAACCCAGAACGGAUAAAUGAUUUGUAGAAUGUCUCGGUUUUUGGUGAAAUUUCUUCAGAUGAAUAAAUGAUUAAAAU